Molecule: ribosomal RNA, 305 nt
Filed under: uncultured bacterium
Lineage: Bacteria
Description: bacterial SSU rRNA
Rfam family: Bacterial small subunit ribosomal RNA
Source: RNAcentral
AACCUACGGGACGCAGCAGUGGGGGAUAUUGCACAAUGGGGGAAACCUUGAUGCAGCGACGCCGCGUGGGUGAAGAAGCGCCUCGGCGCGUAAAGCCCUGUCAGCAGGGAAGAAAAUGACGGUACCUGAAGAAGAAGCCCCGGCUAACUACGUGCCAGCAGCCGCGGUAAUACGUAGGGGGCAAGCGUUAUCCGGAUUUACUGGGUGUAAAGGGGGCGCAGACGGCGAUGCAAGCCAGGAGUGAAAGCCCGGGGCCCAACCCCGGGACUGCCCUGGAAACUGUGCGGCUUGAGUGCGGGAGGGGG